Solanum dulcamara is the source of this 571-nucleotide long non-coding RNA. RefSeq lists it as uncharacterized. The transcript has 3 exons. The record is from RefSeq and is a predicted model, not a curated record. Lineage: Eukaryota; Viridiplantae; Streptophyta; Magnoliopsida; Solanales; Solanaceae.
CACAGAGGCAAUAACAUCAUUGAAAGAUCGAAAAGGUUCAAGCCAGCCAGUAAUAGCAAAGUUCAUUGAAGCUAAGUAUAAGGAAUUUCUUCCCCCAAAUUUCAAGAAAAUCCUCUCUGUUCAGUUGAAGAAAUUCGUAGAGUAGGAGUAGAUAUUCAAAAUCAACAAUUCAUAUAAGAUUUCAGCUAAUCCCCACAAGGAAAAAAUAAAGAGCUUGAGCCAAGUAAAGACCCCAGAAGCAUUGAAGAAGAAUGUAUCAACUACUCCAGGUAAAACUGGUGGCAGGAUGAAGAGAUUGAGCCAAGUGUAUACACCAGAGAGGCUACAGACACCCAAGAAACACAAGUCUUUGAGGGAUAAGACAAAAGAAGAAUCAUAAAAAGGAAGCGGAUUUUGUGCUUAUGAUAUAGUUUUAUAAUACGAUGAUGACAAACUUGGAAGAGUAUUAUUGAAGAAUAUUAAAUGUUCUAUAAGUUGGUGGUCACAUAAACUAGGGGGAUAUAUUGCAAGCUACAUUGGAUUAAAAAUCAAGCAUGGGUCACUCUUGAUUCAUAAGCCACUUAGUUAGGUU